CGCCAAGAUUACUUUUCACACACGCCUUCAUUUUCCUCUCCUUUACAGUUUCAUCUUUGACCCUUCUGGAAUUUAUGGCGGAAUAAGGCAUGAGGUCCCUGGAAUGAUGUGACCUUCGAGAGGCGCUGGAAAAACAAAUGCAGUGCUGCUCCUGUGAGCCCAGAGAGGCAUUGCACGCCAGACCACUGCAAGAGAAUGUCUGAAGAAGACGUGGAGGUGGUCAGCCUCAGGAGAGCUGAAGGGGGCGCUAGGACACCAGGGGAGCCCCCCAGAGAACUGGAGGUGAGCAUCGCACGUGAAGCUGUGCACGAGAAGGUGAGGCAGCACACAGGCCGCGCUGAACUAGGAAUUACACACUGUGUAAGAAACAAACAAGUCACAGGGAUCUGGGAAAGAAAACCAAAGGACAGACGGGGCCUAAAGGGGAAAUGGGGGUGUGGGAGCAGCAUCUGGGCCAGUUUCCUUUCCCAACAAAGAAAACUAGGUCCCCAGAGGAAGGUCAAGUUUUCCUCCUUGUGUACCAAGAAAGUGGACAGACCCUCCUGAACGUGAAGGGCACCAGCCUGGGUGACAUCAGGAAGGAACCAUGUGCUCCAGCUCACAGACAGUAGAGCGCAUGGGCCCCAGGCCCGGGGGGCGGGAGGUGGGGGCAGCUCUUAACUCCAUUCCAAGAACUGCAGCUCACCUAGGCUGCUCCCUCGCACUCCAAAAAAUUAGGAAAGGGGGGG
Leopardus geoffroyi (Geoffroy's cat) is the source of this 728-nucleotide long non-coding RNA. RefSeq lists it as uncharacterized. The record is from RefSeq and is a predicted model, not a curated record. Lineage: Eukaryota; Metazoa; Chordata; Mammalia; Carnivora; Felidae. The transcript is spliced from 3 exons.